AUUGAACGCUGGCGGCAUGCUUUACACAUGCAAGUCGAACGGUAACAGGCCGCAAGGUGCUGACGAGUGGCGCACGGGUGAGUAAUGCAUCGGAACGUGCCCAGUCGUGGGGGAUAACUACUCGAAAGAGUAGCUAAUACCGCAUACGAUCUAUGGAUGAAAGCGGGGGACCGUAAGGCCUCGCGCGAUUGGAGCGGCCGAUGUCAGAUUAGGUAGUUGGUGGGGUAAAGGCUCACCAAGCCAACGAUCUGUAGCUGGUCUGAGAGGACGACCAGCCACACUGGGACUGAGACACGGCCCAGACUCCUACGGGAGGCAGCAGUGGGGAAUUUUGGACAAUGGGCGCAAGCCUGAUCCAGCAAUGCCGCGUGCAGGAAGAAGGCCUUCGGGUUGUAAACUGCUUUUGUACGGAACGAAACGGCUCUGGUUAAGACCCGGGGCUAAUGACGGUACCGUAAGAAUAAGCACCGGCUAACUACGU
RNAcentral lists this ribosomal RNA (481 nucleotides) under uncultured bacterium. RNAcentral's name for it is "partial 16S ribosomal RNA". It matches the Rfam family "Bacterial small subunit ribosomal RNA", at positions 30 to 506 of the family's 1533-position model. The record is from RNAcentral.